CCUUUUAAGUCAGCGGUGAAAGUCUGUGGCUCAACCAUAGAAUUGCCGUUGAAACUGGGAGGCUUGAGUAUGUUUGAGGCAGGCGGAAUGCGUGGUGUAGCGGUGAAAUGCUUAGAUAUCACGCAGAACCCCGAUUGCGAAGGCAGCCUGCCAAGCCAUGACUGACGCUGAUGCACGAAAGCGUGGGGAUCAAACAGGAUUAGAUACCCUGGUAGUCCACGCAGUAAACGAUGAUCACUAGCUGUUUGCGAUACACGGUAAGCGGCACAGCGAAAGCGUUAAGUGAUCCACCUGGGGAGUACGCCGGCAACGGUGAAACUCAAAGGAAUUGACGGGGGCCCGCACAAGCGGAGGAACAUGUGGUUUAAUUCGAUGAUACGCGAGGAACCUUACCCGGGUUUGAACGCAUUCGGACCGAGGUGGAAACACCUUUUCUAGCAAUAGCCGUUUGCGAGGUGCUGCAUGGUUGUCGUCAGCUCGUGCCGUGAGGUGUCGGCUUAAGUGCCAUAACGAGCGCAACCCUUGCCACUAGUUACUAACAGGUGAAGCUGAGGACUCUGGUGGGACUGCCAGCGUAAGCUGCGAGGAAGGCGGGGAUGACGUCAAAUCAGCACGGCCCUUACAUCCGGGGCGACACACGUGUUACAAUGGCGUGGACAAAGGGAAGCCACCUGGCGACAGGGAGCGAAUCCCCAAACCACGUCUCAGUUCGGAUCGGAGUCUGCAACCCGACUCCGUGAAGCUGGAUUCGCUAGUAAUCGCGCAUCAGCCAUGGCGCGGUGAAUACGUUCCCGG
RNAcentral lists this ribosomal RNA (795 nucleotides) under uncultured Parabacteroides sp. RNAcentral describes it as "bacterial SSU rRNA". It matches the Rfam family "Bacterial small subunit ribosomal RNA", at positions 579 to 1377 of the family's 1533-position model. Lineage: Bacteria; Pseudomonadati; Bacteroidota; Bacteroidia; Bacteroidales; Tannerellaceae. The record is from RNAcentral.